AUGUGUACUGCUGUGAACAGUGUGGCAAAUACUUUAUAACAGACAAACAGUUACAACAACACAUGUUUACCCACACUGAGGAGAGACCUUAUAAAUGUGACCUGUGUGAGAAGACUUUUAAAUCUCCACGAUACCUGAGGCGACACCAACAGAGCCACACCAGAAAGAGACUCUACAAGUGCAGUUACUGUGAGAAGCAGAGCGACACAGAUGGAUCCAGUUCUCAACCCUGUCAUCACCGUGGUGGUGGGAAAGACUUUCAUUGUGACCUCUGUGGAAAAACUUUUAGUCGACAAGACACCCUAAGAGAACAUCAACGUAGACACACUGGAGACAAACUGAAAUACUGUAAAGAAUGUGGGAGAAGCUUCAUCACAUCAACUGAGUUAAAACGACAUGAACUGAUUCACAGUGGGGUUAAAAAGCACCUCUGUGAUCAGUGUGGGUCAUCCUUCACCACUGCAGGUGAGCUUAAAUCACACAAACGAGUCCACACAGGAGAGAAACCAUACAAGUGCAGACACUGUGACAAAAGUUUCUCACAAUCAGGUCAUCGUAACAGGCAUGAACGUACACACAUGGAAGGAAACUACAGCUGUGACCAGUGUGACAAGAGCUUCAGGAGUCUCAGAUCAUACUCC
Long non-coding RNA from Oreochromis niloticus (Nile tilapia), 641 nucleotides. RefSeq lists it as uncharacterized. The record is from RefSeq and is a predicted model, not a curated record. Lineage: Eukaryota; Metazoa; Chordata; Actinopteri; Cichliformes; Cichlidae. The transcript has 2 exons.